CGGAGGAGAAGAAACUAACCAGGAUUUCCCUAGUAACGGCGAGCGAACCGGAAAGAGCCCAGCUUGAAAAUCGAGGUGCUUCGCAGCUCGAAUUGUAGUCUGGAGAAGCGUCCUCUGCAGCGUGCCGGCCCCAAGUUCCCUGGAAUGGGAUGCCCAAGAGGGUGACAGCCCCGUCGAGGCCGGUUUUUAUUGUUGCUCCACGAGGCGCGAUCUGCGAGUCGGGCUGUUUGGGAAUGCAGCCCUAAGUGGGAGGUAAAUUCCUUCUAAGGCUAAAUAUUGGCAAGAGACCGAUAGCGAACAAGUACCGCGAGGGAAAGAUGAAAAGGACUUUGAAAAGAGAGUUAAACAGUGCUUGAAAUUGCUGGGAGGGAAGCGAAUGGAAGCUGCGGGUGUGCCCCGGUUGGAUGUGGAACGGCUUCGGCUGGUCUGCCGCUCAACGCGGGGCACUGGUCAGCGUGGGCUACUUCGGCGGGACAAGAGCAGGGCGCAAGUGCCUUGCCUAUGCCGCCGAGGUGGCCGAGGAACGAAGCGUGCGGCCCCCCUCUCGGGGGGGGCCGUGGGACUUGUCCCAACUGCACGCUCGGGACGCUGGCGUAUUGAGCUCUUCAUCCGACCCGUCUUGAAACACGGACCAAGGAGUCUAACAUGUAUGCAAGCAGGUGGGCGGCAAACCCAUUGAUGCGCAAGUAAACUGACAGGUGGGACCCCCCUGAAAAGGGUGCACCAUCGACCGACCGUGAUCUUCUGUGAAAGGUUUGAGUGUGAGCAUACCUGUUGGGACCCGAAAGAUGGUGAACUAUGCCUGAGCAGGGCGAAGCCAGAGGAAACUCUGGUGGAGGCUCGUAGCGAUACUGACGUGCAAAUCGUUCGUCAGACUUGGGUAUAGGGGCGAAAGACUAAUCGAACCAUCUAGUAGCUGGUUCCCUCCGAAGUUUCCCUCAGGAUAGCUGGAGCUCGUGUAAGAGUUUUAUCAGGUAAAGCGAAUGAUUAGAGGCAUCGGGGGUGUAACACCCUCGACCUAUUCUCAAACUUUAAAUAGGUAAGCCGCCGGGGUUGCUUGGUUGAACCCCGGCACAGAAUGAGAGCUCCAAGUGGGCCAU
This 1100-nucleotide ribosomal RNA is filed under the name Quathlamba debilicostata. Its description in RNAcentral is "eukaryotic LSU rRNA". It matches the Rfam family "Eukaryotic large subunit ribosomal RNA", at positions 51 to 1134 of the family's 3401-position model. Lineage: Eukaryota; Viridiplantae; Streptophyta; Bryopsida; Bartramiales; Bartramiaceae. The record is from RNAcentral.